UUGUUGGUGAGGGUAACGGCCCACCAAUGCGACAACGGGUAGCUGGUCUGAGAGGAUGGUCAGCCACACUGGAACUGAGACACGGUCCAGACACCUACGGGUGGCAGCAGUCGAGAAUCAUUCGCAAUGGGGGAAACCCUGACGAUGCGACGCCGCGUGGAUGAUGAAGGCCUUAGGGUUGUAAACUCCUGUCCAGAGGGAAUAAGCAAGUGAAGGUACCUCUAGAGGAAGGGGCGGCUAUUUCCGUGCCAGCAGCCGCGGUAACACGGAAGCCCCGAGCGUUGUUCGGAUUCAUUGGGCGUAGCGGGUGCGUACGCGGUGCGGAAAGUCCGGCGUGAAAGGCAGGGGCUCAACCUCUGGACUGCGUUGAAUACUUCCGUGCUUGAGGACUGGAGGGGAGACUGGAAUUCACAGUGUAGCAGUGAAAUGCGUAUAUCUCGUGAGGAAGACCGGUGGCGCAAGGCGAGUCUCUGGACAGAUCCUGACGCUGAGGCCACGAAUGCUGGGGGAGCGAACCAGGAUUAGAUACCCCUGGUAGUCCCAGCAGUAAACUGAUGUUGAUGCUUGAUGUAGGGGGAUCCGACCCCUUCCGUGUCGGAAGCUAACGCGAUAAGCUCACCGGCUGACGAGUACGGCCGGCAGGCUAAAACUCAUUGAACUUGACCGGGGACCCGCACCAGCGGUGGAGUAUUGUGGCUAUUCGAUGCAACGCGAAGAACCUUACCUGGCCUUGA
This 734-nucleotide ribosomal RNA is filed under the name uncultured organism. RNAcentral describes it as "bacterial SSU rRNA". It matches the Rfam family "Bacterial small subunit ribosomal RNA", at positions 246 to 984 of the family's 1533-position model. The record is from RNAcentral.